AAAAGCGUAAACGGUAUACGAUGGACCCGCGUCUGAUUAGCUAGUUGGCGGGGUAGAGGCCCACCAAGGCGACGAUCAGUAGCCGGCCUGAGAGGGUGACCGGCCACAUUGGGACUGAGACACGGCCCAAACUCCUACGGGAGGCAGCAGUGGGGAAUAUUGCACAAUGGGGGGAACCCUGAUGCAGCGACGCCGCGUGAGUGAAGAAGUAUUUCGGUAUGUAAAGCUCUAUCAGCAGGGAAGAAAAUGACGGUACCUGACUAAGAAGCCCCGGCUAACUACGUGCCAGCAGCCGCGGUAAUACGUAGGGGGCAAGCGUUAUCCGGAUUUACUGGGUGUAAAGGGAGCGUAGACGGUUAUGCAAGUCUGAAGUGAAAGCCCAAGGCUCAACCAUGGGACUGCUUUGGAAACUGUAAAACUGGAGUGCAGGAGAGGUAAGCGGAAUUCCUAGUGUAGCGGUGAAAUGCGUAGAUAUUAGGAGGAACACCAGUGGCGAAGGCGGCUUACUGGACUGUAACUGACGUUGAGGCUCGAAGGCGUGGGGAGCAAACAGGAUUAGAUACCCUGGUAGUCCACGCGGUAAACGAUGAUCACUAGGUGUCGGUGGGUAGAGACCCAUCG
Molecule: ribosomal RNA, 621 nt
Filed under: uncultured bacterium
Lineage: Bacteria
Description: bacterial SSU rRNA
Rfam family: Bacterial small subunit ribosomal RNA
Source: RNAcentral